AGCAAGGAAAGGGAUGGAUUAAGGAUGCUUCGCAGGGGACGUGCUGAAUUUUCCAGCCGUCCUUCCUGUAGAUAGUACACUUCUGAACACACAAAGUCGAUUAGCAUUUGCCAGCACAGUGUUAUCUUUGGUCUUCUGGGACCAAAAAUCAGUCACUGCUGCUGUCAUUUCCUCUGCUGACUGCAAACACACUCUUUCACUCUGUCAUCACAUCCGCUAGCUACCUGCACAAAGUGUUUACCCACAUGGCAGCUGGUACAUUGUAUUACAAUCGGGAGUGAGUCCAGUUUGGCUCAUGGAAGUGGAGAAAGGGUUGUUAUCUACAGGAACAGGGACAGGAGAAUCAGGACUUUGAAGGCUGACAGGCCAGUGUUGCCAUUUGCAAGAGGGCAGAUGACAGGAGUCCAGAGAGAGAGGAAAUGAGUGAGAGAGACAGCGAGAAUCUGCUGAUAAAGAUUGAUGCUGAUGUAGGAGGCUGAGGUAAAAGAGAGGGCAGCAGGAGCCUUUAGACGGAAACGGCAACAAUUCACACAGCAGGCACACAGCUGGUCUGUUUUAUACGGGUGGGCACAGUGUGUACUUAGCAUAUGAUGUUAAUAUAUUGGUGUACAUCCAUUGUCUGCAUCUUUGCCAGUGUUAUUC
Long non-coding RNA from Oreochromis niloticus (Nile tilapia), 642 nucleotides. RefSeq lists it as uncharacterized. The transcript is spliced from 3 exons. The record is from RefSeq and is a predicted model, not a curated record. Lineage: Eukaryota; Metazoa; Chordata; Actinopteri; Cichliformes; Cichlidae.